AGAGUUUGAUCCUGGCUCAGAACGAACGCUGGCGGCAUGCCUAACACAUGCAAGUCGAACGCUUCGGGGGGUUCGCCCUCCGGGGAGUGGCGCACGGGUGAGUAGCGCGUGGGAACCUGCCCUCUUGUGGGGGAUAACCGCGGGAAACUGCGGCUAAUACCGCAUAAGCCCCUGGGUGACUGGGGGGAAAGAUUUAUCGCGAGAGGAGGGGCCCGCGUCGGAUUAGCUUGUUGGUGGGGUAACGGCCUACCAAGGCGAUGAUCCGUAGUUGGUCUGAGAGGAUGAUCAGCCACACUGGGACUGAGACACGGCCCAGACUCCUACGGGAGGCAGCAGUGGGGAAUAUUGGACAAUGGGGGCAACCCUGAUCCAGCAAUGCCGCGUGAGUGAGGAAGGCCUUCGGGUUGUAAAGCUCUUUCGCACGCGACGAUGAUGACGGUAGCGUGAGAAGAAGCCCCGGCUAACUUCGUGCCAGCAGCCGCGGUAAU
This 488-nucleotide ribosomal RNA is filed under the name uncultured bacterium. RNAcentral's name for it is "bacterial SSU rRNA". It matches the Rfam family "Bacterial small subunit ribosomal RNA", at positions 8 to 524 of the family's 1533-position model. The record is from RNAcentral.